UUUUUUGUUGUUGAUUUUUUUGUUAGUCAUGGCGUUGACGGUUUGUUUUCGACUUCUGAGUUUGAAUAAUCCUUUGAUAUUUUUCGCCUAUCUUUCUAUGUGUUCUACUAUAGUAAAACAGCAUACUGAAUGAGUGACACUAUUUUCAAUUGUAAUAUUAUGAAACAAAAUUCACGGCUGCUUGAGAGGAAUUGAAUUUUCAAAGUGGACAAUUUGAUUUCGAAAACAUUAGGACAUGACAACGACUAACUUGGUGAGAGCAUUGUGCAAAUCGUAUAUAUCCAUGUAGGCUACUAAUUUUUCGCCACUUUUUGCACAUUAAAUCGUAUUUAUUGAUUUAAAUUCUAUGAGAUAUAAUGCUUUUCCUAUGUAAAUACCAAAAAGCAUACUAUACAAUUCCUUGAGUAUUAUAAAAGGGUGGGAAAGGCUUUAUAUAGUGUGAGAUUUUGUCAAUUUUUUUCAUUAAAAUAAAGUAUAAUAUACAGGUUUCUAUUCUAUAGUUUCCUGAUUUUCAUAUCGAAUUUUGUCAAUACACCAUUGUCCUAUUAGGUUUCUUUUACGUUUUCUUUCCAUUAUACAAGAAAAGAUUCAACGAAAAUCACCAAUGCAGAACAACGCAAAAAGAUACACAACAUCACUUAUCUUGAUUCAAGGCAAUUAAAAAAGAAAAAAAGAAAAAAAAAGGAUGCAAAGGAUUUCCCCAAAAGUUUAUUACUUCACAACCUAAUUAUAGAACCAGAGACAUAUAAUACAAUAUUAUAUUAUAUGUCUCUGAAAGAAUCGAG
This 785-nucleotide long non-coding RNA is filed under the name Mytilus galloprovincialis (Mediterranean mussel). Lineage: Eukaryota; Metazoa; Mollusca; Bivalvia; Mytilida; Mytilidae. The record is from RNAcentral.